Triticum aestivum (bread wheat) is the source of this 135-nucleotide non-coding RNA. Lineage: Eukaryota; Viridiplantae; Streptophyta; Magnoliopsida; Poales; Poaceae. The record is from Rfam.
CAACUACUCCCUCUGUCCCAAAUUUCUUGUCUUAGAUUUGUCUAGAUACGGAUGUAUCUAAUACUAAAAUGUGACUUGAUACAUCCGUAUCUAGACAAAUCUAAGACAAGAAUUUUGGUACGGAGGGAGUACUUU